UGAUUAGUCGUUAUCGCAAAAUUACAACCUUGCCAAGGUUGGGGUCGAGGGUUCGAAUCCCUUCUCCCGCUCCA
RNAcentral lists this transfer RNA (74 nucleotides) under Phyllobacterium myrsinacearum. RNAcentral's name for it is "tRNA-Gly". It matches the Rfam family "tRNA", at positions 9 to 71 of the family's 71-position model. Rfam says of the family: Transfer RNA (tRNA) molecules are approximately 80 nucleotides in length. Their secondary structure includes four short double-helical elements and three loops (D, anti-codon, and T loops). Lineage: Bacteria; Pseudomonadati; Pseudomonadota; Alphaproteobacteria; Hyphomicrobiales; Phyllobacteriaceae. The record is from RNAcentral.